UUUUUUUUUAAUUUUUUAUUGGAUUAUAGGUUUUGGGGUACAUGAGCAGAGCAUGCAAGACAGUUGCGUAGGUACACACAUGGCAGUGUGCUUUCUUUUCUUCUCCCCUUCACCCACAUUUGGCAUUUCUCCCCAGGCUAUCCCUCCCCACCUCCCCCUCCCACUGGCCCUCCCCUUUUCCCCCCAAUAGACCUCAGUGUUUAGUACUCCCCUUUCUGUGUCCAUGUGUUCUCAUUUUUCAUCACCCACCUAUGAGUGAGAAUAUGCGGUGUUUCAUUUUCUGUUCUUGUACUUAUUUCUUUAUUAAUCUAUUCUCUUAAAAAUAAUAUGUUGUUCCUUCAUGAAGUAAUUAGCUUUUUCUUUCCCUAUAUUUCAAAAUCAAUGAUUUUCUUUAGGGUGACUUGUAUCACACAGGAUUUUAAACUAACAAAGAUUAUUCCUCAGAAUAGAAACAUGAUCUGAACAUAUAUUUUUGUAUUUGUCAAUAUUUGCUCUGGACUAAGAUUGCUUUAGUCAGAGAUCAUCCCCGUUCUUUUGCCUUUCAUUUUUCUUUUUCCUUUGAAUAGUUCCCCACAGGAGUUGGGAGACAAGCUUCUUUUUUCUCUGGCUGUAAAGCUAUUGAAGAUAAGUCUGGACCUCUUGGAGGAUGAAGUUUUACUCUGUGGAGUACACUGGUUUAAAACCAAAAUCAAAAGAAGGAAGAUACGGAGCAAGAGAGAAAGAGGAUGAGACCACAAGUCCUGGAAUAGGAAAAUCUCUGCCUGAAGGAUAGAAACCACUAGCUCCUGAAUUCUGGUCAACUUCAAGCCAAAGAAUGUAUAGGAAGAAGCCAAGUGCAGAACUGGGAGCCAAAAGCAGAACUGGGAGGCCAGUAUGGAUGAUGUGAAAAAUAACAGAGGGAAAGAUCACAGUGAAGGAGUUGGAGAAAAGAAGAAUGACAUUCCAAGGCUCCUGCUUCAGUGACACGGUAGAUGGUGGUGUCAUUAGCUGAACUAAAAAAGACUGAGGGAUACCAGGUUUCUGGCAGAGAGAAAUACAACAAAAAAUUUUAGAACAUGUUAAGUUUGAGAUAUCUAUGACACAUCCAAGCACAGAUAUCAUGUAAGAUAUUGUAUUUACCACUCUGGCUCUUAGAAAAAUACAAAAAUUAGCUGGGCAUGUUGGCAAAUGGCUGUAAUCCUGGCUACUCGGUGGCUGAGACACAAGAAUCACUUGAAUCUGUGAGACAGAGCUUGCAGUGAGCUAAGAUCUCAUGCACCACUGCACUCCAGCCUGGGCGAUAGAGCAAGACUGUGUAAAAACAAAAACAAAACAAACAAACAAAAAUACCUGAUGAAAUCACCUGUAGAGAGAGCUAUAGAGAGACCAUAACAAGAGAAGAAAAUGGAGCCAAGGACUCAGUCCUGAGAAAAUGCAACCAGCAGAUUUUUGGUAGCAAAGAAAGAAUCAGAAAAGCAAGUCAGUUAAUAAGGUAGGAAGAAAAUGGAGUCUAUUUCUGCAAGAAGAAAGUGUUAGAAUAUAAUAGAAUUACAUGUCUGAUUAAAUAUUGCUGAGCAGUCAUAAUAAGGAUUGAAAAAUUUCUAUUUGGUUUUGUCACAUGAAGGCUUUUGCUUAUCAUGACCUGGGCACAUAUCUGAGAAAAUGAAUGUGAAUAGCUUAGGUAAAAAAAAAAGGGCAUGAGAACAUCCCAAUCAAGGAAAAUAAUGUAUGUGACUUCCCUAGAUGGAAAAGGAAGAGGCCAAGUCACCAGAGAUCCUGUAUGAGUGACAUAUGGGUACAGAAGAGAGUGAUAGCAGAGGAGGCUAACAUUGCAGGGAAGAGAUUUUUUAAAAUAUGGAGAUAUAAAUAUCAAUAUAUGUCUUAUCAAUAUAAAUAAUAUUUUCACAAAAAAUUAAAAAUUUACUAUGUAAAACUGGAGAGAUAGAGUUAAGUAGAAUAUUCUAGAGAGAAGAUAUAACAGGCACAAAAGCCCAGUGCUACGGAGCAGUAUGGUACCCUUAGAGCACUGAAGUACUUAGGCUGAAGUGGAGCAUGUUGUGGAGCAGUGAGAGGAAAUAUUCUACAGGGUAGCUGGGGAUCAGUCAGUCUGAGGGACUGUAGGUGCCAUGUUAGGUUUGAGCUUAUUCUAUAGACAGUGGUCUAUAGAAUAUAUAAGUUCUUCUAUAGAGACUGAAGAACUCUAAGCAGCUGAGUGACAUAAUGUGAUUUAUAAUGAUUAAUAUUUUGAAAAGAUAAUUCUAGUAACAAUGUGGGAGAAAAUUUGGAGUUGGGGUUGGAGGAAUAAGACUGAAAGCUGGGAGCCCAAAAGGGGAAUAUCAUGUAUAGGCAAGAAAUGUUGACUGCCUGAACUAAGAUGAUGGCUGUGGAAAUAAAGAAGGAAAAGACAAAUUCUCAAAUUUUUAAAGAAGUGGAAAUGAAAAAAAUUAAUAAUAUUUGGAGGUAAGGGACUGUGAAAAGAAAUUUUCAAGGUAGUUCCCAGGUCUUAGGCUUGGGUGAUCAGAUGGAUCUUGAUGCCAUCACACAAAAUGGGAAAUGAGUAUAUCAAACAUCAAAUAAAGACAAUGAAGAUUUCCAUGAGGACAAAAGUUUCCUUAGUAUAUGAAGUGAUACAAAAGUUCGAAAUAUGGAAGCUUGGAGUCUGAAAGUAAGUUAUUAGAAUUUGGGAAUUUAAGGUAGGAGUUAUUCUAAAUAAUGAAAUGGAUCAAGAUUUCUUAUAGAAGAAUAAAAAGGUAGAAACAUUAGAGCCAGAUAACUGAUUAGAAUUUUUAAAAGUCAUAUGCGCAAUUGUUCUGAACAGAUGUUCAAAAUGGUUGGUAAUAUGACUGGAAGCUUUCUAGAGGAUAAAAGUAGAAACAGAAUGAGUUAAAAUGUUCACAGCAUCUUUAAGAUACAAAUCAAAUAGUUGUUCAUCAGAAGCCCAGCUUUCCAACAUUCUAGGACAUAAAAAAAAGUUUAUCCUGUGAAUUAUCUAAAGAGUACACUGACUUUGGUUUUAAAAGUGGGGUGUGCUUCCUCUGACAGUCAUGUCAAGUGCCUGUUACUACUUAGACCCCUGGGAUAAACAUGGCACAUCUCUGUGGAAUUGAAAUUUAUUUGAAAAUUUAGAUAACAAAUUAUAAUCAUUUAUUCAUAUUAAAACCAACACAUAUGUACAUAGUAGCAGAAAAUAAUUGGUGAGCUUUUUUGACAAAACAUGGGCCUACAAUUAAUUUCUAUUCCAAAACUGAGAGAUACCACUACAUCCUCCUUCAUGUUUUGAAGGUUAUAGAGACUCUGUGCUUUUCAAAUUUUUUCAUUAAUUUAAACACUAGAUAGAUAAGAUCCUAAUAGUAAUAACUGUUAUGAAUCAUAUAUAGAUUUUUGUUCUCGAUGGAGGCUGGUGGUUCAAUGUUAAUGAAAAUAAUACAUUAGGGGCCAAAACAAUGCAGAAUACUACUCAGUUCUCUCUUGUUCUAAUUUGAACCAAGGACAAAUUUUAUCAGGGGUUACGAUGCAUAUAUUUCACAUAGUCUUUCAAAAGUGUUAUUUAUUUUAACACAAUUUUUAAAUAAGAUUGGGCAAGAGAGAGUUCAAGGUUAUAUUAUUUGACAAGUAUCUGGAGUGUAAUUAUAUUAUAUUGCCAGUUAUGAGUUGGUUUAUAUGCAUUGAUGAUCAAAAUUUUAGGUAGAAAUUUAGGCUAACAGAACCUAACUCAUAAAAAAUAUGUGCCUGAAAAGACUCUUCAAGGACAUGAGCUGAGACAUAACAGAAAGCUCACUUUAGUGUAAAUGAUUCCAUGAGCAGAGACAAGAUAGAAAAAGAAAUGUCUUCCUUCUAAAAGAAAUUUGCAUCCGUUACAACUUACAAACAGAUGGAUAACCAAAUCUCCAAAGGAUAUAUCAGGAACAUGGCCAUGAUAAUUCUAAAAUAGAAAAAUAAAUUUAAGUAACUGCUACUAAACACCUGCUAUAGACAUGGGAACAAAAAACCUUUGAAAAUUGUUUACAUUUAAAUAAGUAAACUGAUUGCACAAUGUAUCUGUAGAUAAUGAGCAAGAUGGCUUAUUUAACACCAUAUUUCUAAAACCUGGCUUUGCCUUAGCAUCACUUGAGAAUAUUUUCUAAAUCAUAGAUCCUCAGGCUACACCUCACACACCUACUAACUGAGAAUCACCCAGGAGACUGUAUGCCUAACAGGCUUUCCAAAUAAUUCCUGUGCAUCCAAACUUAGGGAGCUCUGCAAGCCUGUUCACUAUGAAGCAGAUGGAGGCUAGAUAUUCAUUACCAAAAAUAAUUACCCUCUCCAUGCAACAGUUGUGGUUUAGCUAUUCUAACAUUAUGUAGACAGCACUGCUAAAAUAAUUCUAAUUUGUGGCAAUAAAACAAUGUUCCCAGCACACAUGAGGUUGAUUGUUUUUCCCUGGUCUCUACUUGGAGAGCCAGCAGGUGCCUGCAUCAAGCUCACACAAAAGAAGUAUUGAGUUAUUAAAAAACUAGUUGAAGAAAAGGGAAGUAAAUACACAACCUUAUUUUAUCUGCUGGAAAUUAUCUUACUCACUGCUAUUUUUUUUUUUUUUUUUUUUUU
Callithrix jacchus (white-tufted-ear marmoset) is the source of this 4563-nucleotide long non-coding RNA. RefSeq lists it as uncharacterized. The record is from RefSeq and is a predicted model, not a curated record. NCBI's taxonomy places the organism in Eukaryota, Metazoa, Chordata, Mammalia, Primates, Cebidae.